This 485-nucleotide ribosomal RNA is filed under the name uncultured bacterium. RNAcentral's name for it is "bacterial SSU rRNA". It matches the Rfam family "Bacterial small subunit ribosomal RNA", at positions 15 to 507 of the family's 1533-position model. The record is from RNAcentral.
GAUCAUGGCUCAGAUUGAACGCUGGCGGAAUGCUUUACACAUGCAAGUCGGCGGCAGCGCGGGGGCAACCCUGGCGGCGAGCGGCGAACGGGUGAGUAACACAUCGGAACGUACCCUGUCGUGGGGGAUAACGAAUCGAAAGAUUCGCUAAUACCGCAUACGACCUGAGGGGGAAAGCGGGGGAUCGCAAGACCUCGCGCGAGAGGAGCGGCCGAUGGCGGAUUAGCUAGUUGGUGGGGUAAAGGCCCACCAAGGCUUCGACGGGUAGCCGGCCUGAGAGGGUGACCGGCCACACUGGGACUGAGACACGGCCCAGACUCCUACGGGAGGCAGCAGUGGGGAAUAUUGGACAAUGGGCGGAAGCCUGAUCCAGCAACGCCGCGUGAGGGAUGACGGCCUUCGGGUUGUAAACCUCUUUCAGUACCGACGAAGCGCCGAUGAUGGUGGUGACGGUAGGUACAGAAGAAGCACCGGCCAACUACGUG